RNAcentral lists this ribosomal RNA (359 nucleotides) under uncultured Helicobacter sp. RNAcentral describes it as "bacterial SSU rRNA". The stretch from base 1 to 299 matches the Rfam family "Bacterial small subunit ribosomal RNA", at positions 85 to 400 of the family's 1533-position model. The record is from RNAcentral. Lineage: Bacteria; Pseudomonadati; Campylobacterota; Epsilonproteobacteria; Campylobacterales; Helicobacteraceae.
AGAUGGAUUAGUGGCGCACGGGUGAGUNAUGCAUAGAUAACAUGCCCUUUAGUCUAGGAUAGCCAAAAGGAAACGGUGAUUAAUACUGGAUACUCCUUACGGGGGUAAGUUUUUCGCUAAAGGAUUGGUUUAUGUCCUAUCAGCUUGUUGGUGAGGUAAUGGCUCACCAAGGCUAUGACGGGUAUCCGGCCUGAGAGGGUGAACGGACACACUGGAACUGAGACACGGUCCAGACUCUUACGGGAGGCAGCAGUAGGGAAUAUUGUUCAAUGGGGGAAACCUUGAAGCAGCUACGCCGCUGUGGAGGUAUGGAAGGUUUUUCGGGGUUGUAAAAACUUCCUUUUGUUUUAGCGGGGAGC